UCGUCCCGCCUCGUGAUCGUCUUCUCAACCUUCACCGGGCGGGCGGAAUGAGGAAGGCCCCCGCGAGGACGUGACUCGCGGGGGCCUUCU
Molecule: non-coding RNA, 90 nt
Filed under: Streptomyces coelicolor A3(2)
Lineage: Bacteria; Bacillati; Actinomycetota; Actinomycetes; Kitasatosporales; Streptomycetaceae
Also listed under: 1 other name
Description: sodF sRNA
Rfam family: sodF sRNA
About the family: Identified in Streptomyces coelicolor. It is produced from sodF mRNA by cleavage of about 90 nucleotides from its 3'UTR.
Source: Rfam by way of RNAcentral